This 705-nucleotide ribosomal RNA is filed under the name uncultured Glomeromycotina. Its description in RNAcentral is "bacterial SSU rRNA". It matches the Rfam family "Eukaryotic small subunit ribosomal RNA", at positions 346 to 1045 of the family's 1831-position model. Lineage: Eukaryota; Fungi; Glomeromycota. The record is from RNAcentral.
AUGGUGGUAAACGGGUAACGGGGUGUUAGGGCACGACACCGGGAGAGGGAGCCUGAGAAAACGGGCUACCCACAUCCCAAGGAUGGCAGCAGGGCGCGCAAAAUUACCCAAUCCCGACACGGGGAGGUAGUGACAAUAAAUAACAAUACGGGGGUUCUUUUGGGAUUUCGUAAAUNGAAUGAGUACCAAUUAAAUUUUCUAANGGAGGACCAAUGGAAGGCCAAGUCUGGGCCCAGCAGCCGCGGAAAUCCCAGUUCCAAUAGNGAUAAUAAAAGUUGUGCCAGUUAAAAAGUUGGUAGUGAAAUUUCGGAUUGGGGGUUCGGGUGGGCCUUUGGUACGUACUGGUAUUAUCGGUUUCUCCCUUCUGACGAACCAUAAUGCCAUUAAUUUGGUGUUAUGGGGAAUUAGGACUGUUACCUUGAAAAAAUUAGAGUGUUUAAAGCAGGCAUUAGCUUGAAUACAUUAGCAUGGAAUAAUGAAAUAGGACAUCAGAUUUUAUUUUGUUGGUUUCUAGGAUCGAUGUAAUGAUUAAUAGGGAUAGUUGGGGGCAUUAGUAUUCAAUUGUCAGAGGUGAAAUUCUUGGAUUUAUUGAAGACUAACUACUGCGAAAGCAUUUGCCAAGGAUGUUUUCAUUAAUCAAGAACGAAAGUUAGGGGAUCGAAGACGAUCAGAUACCGUCGUAGUCUUAACCAUAAACUAUGCCGA